AUUCCAGCUCCAAUAGCGUAUAUUAAUGUUGUUGCAGUUAAAAAGCUCGUAGUUGGAUUUCUGGUCGGAACGCCGGUCCGGCUCCGCAAGGGGUCGUGUAUUGGUUUCUCCUGCCAUCCUCAGGGGGAGCUGCACUGGUAUUCAUUUAUCGGCGUGGUUACGCCUGUCGUUUACUGUGAACAAAUUAGAGUGUUCAAAGCAAGGUGUACUUGAAUACAUUAGCAUGGAAUAAUAAGAUAGGACUUUGGUGGUUCUUUUUGAUAUUUUGUUGGUUUGCACGCCAAAGUAAUGAUUAAUAGGAGCAGUUGGGGGUAUUCGUAUUCAAUUGUCAGAGGUGAAAUUCUUGGAUUUAUAGAAGACGAACUACUGCGAAAGCAUUUACCAAGGAUGUUUUCAUUA
Molecule: ribosomal RNA, 399 nt
Filed under: Pedinellales sp.
Lineage: Eukaryota; Dictyochophyceae; Pedinellales
Description: partial small subunit ribosomal RNA
Rfam family: Eukaryotic small subunit ribosomal RNA
Source: RNAcentral